Molecule: ribosomal RNA, 440 nt
Filed under: uncultured bacterium
Lineage: Bacteria
Description: partial 16S ribosomal RNA
Rfam family: Bacterial small subunit ribosomal RNA
Source: RNAcentral
CCUACGGGAGGCAGCAGUGGGGGAUAUUGCACAAUGGGGGAAACCCUGAUGCAGCGACGCCGCGUGUGGGAAGACGGUCUUCUGGAUUGUAAACCACUGUCCCCAGGGACGAAAAUGACGGUACCUGGGGAGGAAGCUCCGGCUAACUACGUGCCAGCAGCCGCGGUAAUACGUAGGGAGCAAGCGUUGUCCGGAAUUACUGGGUGUAAAGGGAGCGUAGGCGGGGAUGCAAGUUGGGUGUCAAAACUAUCGGCUCAACCGAUAGUCGCACUCAAAACUGCAGCUCUUGAGUGAAGUAGAGGCAGGCGGAAUUCCUAGUGUAGCGGUGAAAUGCGUAGAUAUGUGGAAGAACACCGAUGGCGAAGACAGCCUCCUGGGACAUAACUGACGCUCAGGCACGAAAGCGUGGGGAGCAAACAGGAUUAGAUACCCCGGUAGUC